CCUCACGGCUGCUGCUGCAAACACCCACACACACAGGAUGCUGUGAGCAAUUUCCUCAAACUCUACUAUUUGGUUGUGUGUUCCCACGGCAACCAGAGAUGCCUCCUCUCAAUAGAAGAUGCAGCUGCUGAGGAGACCCCAUCCUGCUUCCUCCUGCUUCCUCCUCAGCUGCUGAUUCUGCCUCAACACACCAAACUGGAGACUCGACUGGACUGGAGUUGAACUUAAAGCUCUCAGAGAAGCCAAAAUCCUUUCGUCCAAACCUGCUGUGAUUGUCUUGAACGUAACUUUGCAACACUGACGGUUGCUGUUUGCAAGCUGCCACAUUAUAUGAAGUUGGAUCUCACUUUUGGGCAGAAGUGUGAAGUUAAUACCAAGAGAAACAGAUGAGCAUUCUACAACCAAACGUCAUUUUCCUCCGAUACACCACAGAAAAAGCUCAUAUUUCAUGUUUAACACUGUCAAGUCAAAGGUCAGUGCUCGUUCUCAACCUGCCUGUUUGCAAUGCUCUGUUUUCUUGUCCUGUGUUAAAGCUCUGCAG
Hippoglossus stenolepis (Pacific halibut) is the source of this 541-nucleotide long non-coding RNA. RefSeq lists it as uncharacterized. The transcript has 3 exons. The record is from RefSeq and is a predicted model, not a curated record. NCBI's taxonomy places the organism in Eukaryota, Metazoa, Chordata, Actinopteri, Pleuronectiformes, Pleuronectidae.